Ictalurus punctatus (channel catfish) is the source of this 680-nucleotide non-coding RNA. The record is from the annotation of a RefSeq genome assembly. Lineage: Eukaryota; Metazoa; Chordata; Actinopteri; Siluriformes; Ictaluridae.
UGACUUUAACACUUCAUGACCGAGAGCUGCUGCUACAGCAACUUCACCCACAGCUACCAUGACUUUGAUCCCCGUCUUCAUCUGGACACUGAUCCUCUGGACUCAAGAAUGCAGAGGUCAAGCCACAGUAACUCAGACUCCUGCAGUGAAAUCUGCUCUUCCAGGAGAAACAGUCACCAUCAACUGUAGAACCAAUCCUCAGGUGUACCAAGGUUGGGGUUAUCAACCUUUAGCUUGGUAUCAGCAGAAACCUGGAGAAGCUCCUAAACUGCUGAUCAUAAAAGCAAAUCAGCUACAGUCGGGUAUUCCAGCUCGUUUCAGUGGCAGUGGAUCUGGAUCUGAUUUCACUCUGACCAUCAGUGGAGUCCAGACUGAAGAUGCAGGAGAUUAUUACUGUCAGAGUUGGCAUGACAUUACUGGCUAUUGGUUCACACAGUGUGAUAGAGUCGUACAAAAACCUCCCUCAGUCAGAUUGUAGAGAGACUGCACUGCUGCAGCUGGGAGCGACUGCAGGUGCUGAGUUGGAGGAUGUGAUACGACACAGUGACACUCUGUGGAGGAGAGGAACCACACCACACUAACUCACAACUCACAUUAGAAAUCUCUCAAUAAUCAUCACACCACACUGCACACAGUCCAUCACGUCCACUACUGUAAGAUAAAUAGUUUCCUGAUUUUCU